AUGUUGGAUGCAUUGACACGUGGCUUGGGUCCCAUUCCUCCUGUCCUUCUUGCCGUCAGAUCUUGGUGGUGGCUAGAUGUCAGAAAUGCGGCCAGUUUCCUGCUAUCUCCUCCGGCCGCGGUGGACCUGCGGCUGAGACUAAUUGCAAGGGCAGAGAAGACAAUAACAAUAACAAUAACAACAACAACAAUAGUAAUCAAAACCAUAAUGUAAUUGUUGGGUUUCUACCUUGACAAAGUCUUCAAUUAGGA
RNAcentral lists this long non-coding RNA (251 nucleotides) under Jatropha curcas. RNAcentral's name for it is "long non-coding RNA (JCUR_LNC000532)". Lineage: Eukaryota; Viridiplantae; Streptophyta; Magnoliopsida; Malpighiales; Euphorbiaceae. The record is from RNAcentral.